RNAcentral lists this unclassified non-coding RNA (372 nucleotides) under uncultured fungus. RNAcentral's name for it is "partial contains 18S rRNA and ITS1". The stretch from base 197 to 351 matches the Rfam family "5.8S ribosomal RNA". The record is from RNAcentral. Lineage: Eukaryota; Fungi.
CUGCGGAAGGAUCAUUAUUGAAAUUAUUGGCGAGGGUUGAAGCUGGCCUCUCGGGGCAACGUGCACGCCCGAGCCCUUAAUCCACAUACACCUGUGAACCUAAUGUAGGGGCCCGUUAAAAAAGGUCCCUAUGUCUUAUACACCCCUUUGUAUGUCUCUGAAUGUAAAAUCUUAGUCUUCGGACGGAAUCUUAUAUAACUUUCAACAACGGAUCUCUUGGCUCUCGCAUCGAUGAAGAACGCAGCGAAAUGCGAUAAGUAAUGUGAAUUGCAGAUUUUCAGUGAAUCAUCGAAUCUUUGAACGCACCUUGCGCUCCUUGGUAUUCCGAGGAGCAUGCCUGUUUGAGUGUCAUUAAAUUCUCAACCUUGAGUU